This 544-nucleotide ribosomal RNA is filed under the name Truncatella guerinii. RNAcentral describes it as "partial 16S ribosomal RNA". The record is from RNAcentral. Lineage: Eukaryota; Metazoa; Mollusca; Gastropoda; Littorinimorpha; Truncatellidae.
UAGCUAGAUAGCAUCCUUUAUAGGAUUUCUAGAAACUUAAUGAGCUAUUCUAAGACUAUAUAUUAGUAAAAGAAACUAAAUGUAGCAAAAUUUUUUUUAGAUCUUAGAAUCGAAGUUAGAUGCUAUUCGUAUUAAGUGAUAGCUAGUUUUUUCAUAAAGAUAUAGAAGUAUCAAGCUUGAUAAGCUUAAUUUAUAUUUUAAUAUAAGUUUGUGCUUCAAGUUUCAAAAUUUUCAAGGAUAAGCUUGAAAAUAACAAUAAUAAUUUAUUAGUUAUAAGUUUGAAAUCUAGGCUUGAAAUUAGCCAUAAUAUAGAAUUUGUUAUAAUUCAUCAAAAAAAUAAUAUAAAAUUUUUAUAGUUGUUAAUAUGAAAAGUAUUUUCUAAAUUUCAUGAAAAUACUAUUAUGCUAAGAUGAGUAUUGGUUAAAAAUCAUAUGAUCUAAAAAUUUAAGCUAUGAUUGUUAAUUAGAAUAUUAAUGAAGUAAUUCAUAACAAGGAACUCGGCAAAAAUUCUGCUCUGCCUGUUUAUCAAAAACAUGGCUCUCUG